GAUGAACGCUGGCGGCGUGCCUAAUACAUGCAAGUCGAGCGAACAGAUGAGGAGCUUGCUCCUCUGACGUUAGCGGCGGACGGGUGAGUAACACGUGGAUAACCUACCUAUAAGACUGGGAUAACUUCGGGAAACCGGAGCUAAUACCGGAUAAUAUAUUGAACCGCAUGGUUCAAUAGUGAAAGACGGUUUUGCUGUCACUUCUAGAUGGAUCCGCGCCGCAUUAGCUAGUUGGUAAGGUAACGGCUUACCAAGGCAACGAUGCGUAGCCGACCUGAGAGGGUGAUCGGCCACACUGGAAGUGAGACACGGUCCAGACUCCUACGGGAGGCAGCAGUAGGGAAUCUUCCGCAAUGGGCGAAAGCCUGACGGAGCAACGCCGCGUGAGUGAUGAAGGUCUUCGGAUCGUAAAACUCUGUUAUUAGGGAAGAACAAAUGUGUAAGUAACUAUGCACGUCUUGACGGUACCUAAUCAGAAAGCCACGGCUAACUACGUG
RNAcentral lists this ribosomal RNA (497 nucleotides) under uncultured bacterium. RNAcentral describes it as "partial 16S ribosomal RNA". It matches the Rfam family "Bacterial small subunit ribosomal RNA", at positions 28 to 507 of the family's 1533-position model. The record is from RNAcentral.